This 24-nucleotide non-coding RNA is filed under the name Cricetulus griseus (Chinese hamster). Lineage: Eukaryota; Metazoa; Chordata; Mammalia; Rodentia; Cricetidae. The record is from RNAcentral. RNAcentral also lists the same sequence under 1 other name.
UGGUAUUGCAGUACCUCCAGGAAC